RNAcentral lists this non-coding RNA (28 nucleotides) under Cricetulus griseus (Chinese hamster). Lineage: Eukaryota; Metazoa; Chordata; Mammalia; Rodentia; Cricetidae. The record is from RNAcentral.
CAUGUAAGGACACACCAGGCAUUCUCUG